This 432-nucleotide ribosomal RNA is filed under the name uncultured bacterium. Its description in RNAcentral is "bacterial SSU rRNA". It matches the Rfam family "Bacterial small subunit ribosomal RNA", at positions 329 to 775 of the family's 1533-position model. The record is from RNAcentral.
ACCCAGACUCCUACGGGAGGCAGCAGUGGGGAAUAUUGGGCAAUGGGCGCAAGCCUGACCCAGCAACGCCGCGUGAAGGAAGAAGGCUUUCGGGUUGUAAACUUCUUUUCUCAGGGACGAAGCAAGUGACGGUACCUGAGGAAUAAGCCACGGCUAACUACGUGCCAGCAGCCGCGGUAAUACGUAGGUGGCAAGCGUUAUCCGGAUUUACUGGGUGUAAAGGGCGUGUAGGCGGGAAAGCAAGUCAGAUGUGAAAACCAUGGGCUCAACCUGUGGCCUGCAUUUGAAACUGUUGUUCUUGAGUACUGGAGAGGCAGACGGAAUUCCUAGUGUAGCGGUGAAAUGCGUAGAUAUUAGGAGGAGCACCAGUGGCGAAGGCGGUCUGCUGGACAGCAACUGACGCUGAGGCGCGAAAGCGUGGGGAGCAAACAG